Molecule: non-coding RNA, 289 nt
Organism: Anolis sagrei ordinatus
Lineage: Eukaryota; Metazoa; Chordata; Lepidosauria; Squamata; Anolidae
Source: RefSeq, a predicted model, not a curated record
CUGUAUGGUAUCGGCGCCGCAGCCACGCCCGGAUGACAGGCCUGAGGACCCCCUUCGCAUGGAGUCCUUUGAGUCCUGGGUCACCAUUGACAAUCUAUCAGAAGAAGGGAGCAUGGACAGACCAUGGAGCCAGCUGUCCCAGGGAGAGAACUCAACAACAGAUAUCAAGAUCGAAGAUUUAGAAGACUAAAGAAGAAUGCAGUUCCAAACCAGACCCGUGCUGCCCAUUCUGUUGCUGAGUUGAAGGCCACAGGCAGGUUUUCUCUUUCUGUGUAACCUGUGAUUGGAA